RNAcentral lists this long non-coding RNA (5833 nucleotides) under Taeniopygia guttata (zebra finch). Its description in RNAcentral is "lncRNA (ENSTGUG00000021275.1)". Lineage: Eukaryota; Metazoa; Chordata; Aves; Passeriformes; Estrildidae. The record is from RNAcentral.
GGGGGCAUAAGAGGAAGCAGCACGGAUGGGCGGAGGGGCAGCGAGAGAAGAGCGGGCACUUACAUAGGUUGCGUUUGGACAGAGAGAGACGAGAGGCCAGCAGCUGCAAACAGCAGGGACAGUAAUGACAUGGUGGCUUCACAAAACUGCAUUUGCCUCCAAUAUUGAAGCAAAUAUCAUCAUCUUGCUGAAAAAAUAGUUUGCUGAUGUCAAGGUGAGCUGUGAACCCCUGACUGCGUGGGACAGCAGAAAAGGAGUAGGAGCAUGUAUUAAGGCUGGGGAAACCACAGAAAGGCUUGCAAAGGUGAAGAAGAUACGAAAGGGAAAGGACCAUCAGGGGAGAAGAUGAGCUUUACUGAGGGUGUGUGUUACCUCUGCUUUACAAAAACCAAGUUACAGCAGCAAAGUCGUAGAGAUCCCUGGAAGAUCUAUGUCUCCACCUAUGGAUAGACAGGAUGGUGGUGAAUACCACCUGUUCCCAUUAAAUCUGACACAGCCACAGUGGCAGUCAAGAUCUCUCAGAAACGUGCAUGUUCAGGACAGUAGGCACCAAUGAACAGACAUGUGCAUACCUGCGCAUACACAGGGAAGGAAAUUGCUCUCAGCUAGUGUUGCCAGGUAUGUAUCAUUCCAAUCAUCACUACUAUGUGUAAAUAUUUAGUAAUGCAGUCAAUUGUAAGUUUGGGUGUUUUUAUACUUCUGCAUUCUAAUAGCAGUCAUUAAGGGGAUGCAUUCACUUUUGCAAAAUUAGCAUUUUUUAAAGUGAAACAUAGAAAAAGAUGAAAUUGUAAUAUUUUCUGUAUGAAAUAUUUAGUAUGUUAAAGAAAUAUGUUUUGGUCAACAGAGGGCACUCUAUGGUUUUCAAAGGAGCCUAAUAGAAGCUUAAAAAGGUUCAGUAGGAGAUGACUCAGUGUGGUUUUCAAAGAGCCUUUAGUACUGGUCAAUCUAUAAUUUAUUGGAAAUGCUACUGAUUUCCACUAUAACAUAGAGUACGGGAAUGAAAGAGAACCCCAUCAUUUGAUAAAUUCAGAUACUAGGAUUAAGGCUGUGAUGUACACAGCCAGCUCUUAGUUACAUCUUCAAAAUUGGAAACUAUGUGAAAAGUUGUAACGUACUGAGUCAAAAGUGUACUUACCCAGUAAUGCAGUAAUGAUGUGUUUUACCCUUGUUUGUUUAAAAAUGAUGACUUUGAAUAUCAUAAGUGCUGACAGGUCAGUCCCCACUGCUGUACAUACAGGUUAUUUCUUCCAGUUCAUAAAUAGGUUACUUUCCUGACACCAGCCUACCUUGUGCUGUUUACUUUACUGACCACUUUUAGUUCUGUUGUUCACUUAUUUUCAAAUAAAACAAUUGCAUUUAGGAAUAGAACCUGAAGGGAAAUUUUGUUAGAGCAAACUAGGUAUUUUUAGCCAGUCUAUCUAGAAUGAAUGGAAAUAAAGCAACAAAGAUAUGGAAUAAAAUUAAUCAUUGAUAUGUAAAACUUCAGAAAUUACUUUAACUGAGAUUUUUAUACAGAAGCCAAGCUAUAAGGACUUAGCAGGAGUACUGCAUGCAGAACUAUCACACAUUAAGGUAGCAUGAAUGUAUUUCUGUAAAGUAGACUCUUUCUGAAUAAACCCCAAAAACUAAAAUUGGGAAAGCAAUGCUCCUGGAGAGCACAGGAGUUAAGCAUUGACACAGCUUUAUGUAGUUGCAUGUUUCUUGUUAACAAACCUUCAAGCAUGUGAUCUAUGUGUAAAGGUGGGGCAGUACAGGCAUUUCCAGCUAGAGGGAAGAUGCUAAAAGUUAAAGCAGAGAGAAGUGCAGUAGGUCCUCAUGUUAUCCAUCCCUCCUAUAGUAACCCCCCUCCCGAGAAUCACUGUGUAACAUGUGCUUGUAAUUACAGACAGUAGGAGACCCAGUGAAGAACCAGUCAGAGUUUAGAGGCCAAGUUCUUAUCUCUUUCCUGUGCCUAUGUGUGUGGGAUGAAUUGAGUGUGUGUCAAUCAGAGCCCAGCUCUCACAAGGAGCGAGGAUUCCUUUCUUGCAAACCUGACGAGUGGAAGUUAAAAGCUGUUUUCCUUGCUUCAACACUUACAUUUGCCAACAGCUGUUUCAACAUUUAUAAACACAAUUCCCACUGGCUGCCAAAUUAUCAUAAAUUCAUUUCUGCAUAUUUUUGAGUACUAGGCAUAAAAAUAAUUACAUCUGAUUAAAUCUACUUAUGCUUUCACACCUUUCAAAUGUAUGGUAGAUAUGAAUUGUUGCAAUAUAUUAUAUCUAAACAAAAAUUUCAUGAUGACUUCCAGGCAGAUUAUCUUCAGAAGGUUAUAAAGCAAUAAUUUAUUAGGUAUGGUAAGGCCAUGGUUUUUCACAGUUUCAUUCCAGAUAGAGUACACAGUGUCUGCUAAGUGACAGCACAACUCAGGACAACAGCACACUCUACGAGAUUCAGAUAUUCUUCUGUGUUCAGCUUCAUUUAAGUUAACUCUUUUAAUAUUAUAGACACCUAGAAAAAAUCUGUCUAUAGGAGAAGGAGACCUUCAGAGUGCUGCUAAAAAAUGCUGCUUCUCUACUGGAUGUGUUUUCUCCCUCUGGAAAUUGAAACUGUGCCUAGUAUUGCUGAACACUUGCUCGUGCAGGAAAAUGUGCAUUUGACUUGGACAAAUAUGAAGUGUGUGUGGUGCUGGCAGGCACUGUGCUUGGGAGUGUGGAGCUGCAGAGACAGACUUUGCUUCUUCCCACUGAGCACGUAAUGCCUUUCAUCAUAUACUGUUUAACCUUACGCGUUCUGCCGCGGUCCUGGCUAACACUUCAUUUUAAGUGUGCCAGCAUUAUUAAUUCAUUUGGUAUUCACUGUAAUAACACUGAUCAUAAUUAACUCAUUCUGUAGCCUUGUGAGUGGUUUAAGUGCUCACAUGGAAUUCUGCUGCAAUUCAGCAUUAAUUAAGGUACCACCUAAUUUUUGCACAGAAACAAGAGCGUGUGAUCUGUCUCAUGAGGUAACUCAACAUCUCAGAAGGAGUGUAUGGAUCUCGUGAACAUGUUGGGUAUAUUCUCUCUCUGAGGAAAAUUGUAUACACCAUGUAGAUAAAUUAUGAAACAGUGAUAUUCUCUAACAUGCAAUACACACAUGCCUAUUCUGUAUGUCACUAUGUAUAUUGCACUGCAUUUAAUAAUGAUAAACACAUUUCUACUCUAUAAAAUGUGAGAAGAGCCAAGCUGCUUUUUAAGAAUUUAAAAGAAAAGCUAUAAAAGGAAAUAUCUUCAAAUUUUAAAAAUUCCCUCCUUUAAAUUUUAUAAAACUAUAUCCCAUAUAUCCAUAUUGAUAUAGAGCAGCUGAAGCAAUCAUAUAAUGUCAAAUUCCAUGUAUGAGUUUAACCAACCUUCUUGCUGCAAAGAUAUUGUGAACUAAAUAAUCUCCUUUAAUUGAAAAUAGGUGUAAAAUUGUUAUGCUUUUUUUAAGUACAUUGUAAAUCAGAAAAUUAGAACACUGUAAAGUAAAAAUGCAAGCUCCAUUUCAUAGCAACUUAGUAAAGUACAGAUACAGCUACAUUAUUUCAAUGCAUCCCUUAAACUAAUAUUUUCAGGCAUGAUUAACUUUGUUGGAGAAAAUUAUUCUAGGCAAAAUCUGGGCAAGUAAUGGCUCAGCUUGCAAGCUGAUUAUCUCUGCUACAAUUUCUUGAAAAUUCUUUCAAAAUUACUCACUUUUGCUCAUUUUCAGAUGAUGGAGAGGGCAGCUUUAUGUAAACUAUAUCUGUACACUAUGUGGUCACACCAAAUCAGAUCAUUGUCAACAAAGUAUUUGGGUUGUGUGUUUUAUCUUUUUUUGAUAUUCUUUGACUUGUGUGUCAAUUUUUCAUUUUGCUGUGUUAAACCCCACCUUGAUAACAAAAGGGAAGUUUGAAAGCUAAAAGUAAUGUCAUAUGAUUUAGGCUGUUUUUGCCACUAGUUUGUGGACCGAUAGCUUAAUCAUAUUGCUUAAUCUAUCAGUCUGCAAAGACCUCGGAAUGAAUUUCUCUUGGUCUACAUGAAGGAAUCAAGGGAACUAAAAAUAAACAGGAUUCAGCCAGUAAAUGUCUCAAAAUAGUAUUGAUUACUUUUACAGUCCAAACAUGUAUUGUGGAACACUCUUUGUAUUGGAAAUCAAUGACAAAAUUUUAAUUGACUUCCACAAAGCCAGCAUAUUUAUGAAAUUUAAGAUUGAGGCUGUGCUUUAUUUUUUAACCCACUGCUCUGCAAACUGCAGCUAGAAUAGUGGUCUACUCUUCUUCAAUGGUUAACUAUGAUUCUUAUUUGUAAAAAUGUGUUAUAUACUAAGUAAAAGAAGAAUCCCAAUAUUCUGUACUAUAUUAAUAGUAAGACAACAAAUUUGUGAUAUUCAGAGAAUACUGAGAUUUGAGAUUGCUUCUUAGAAUUCACAAUAUUUUUUAAGUUAAAAAAUAUGAAAGACAUUUUAUUUUUGAACACAGAAAGACUAAGGGAAUAUGAUCUUAUUUUAGAAAAACCCACAAUAUUUGAUUUAAAACUUCUUGAGCAGUAGAUCUGUCACACUGUAGGGUGAUGUCUUGCUUCAGAGAGUGCAGCCAAAGGUGUUUAGAUGCUCAUUAGGGAGAAUUUCAGAAAGGUUAAGUGCAAGCAUGCCCUGAAUGCAGUUCCCUAACGUAAACAAGUGUGUCUUUCACUCUGUGUUUUCUAUUUCGAGAGUUUGGGGUCUUCAGUUUCUAGAAACCCUACAAUUCUUCAUAAUCUUGCUGGAUUACAUUGUCUGAAUUUAUUUAGGCAACAAACUCCUAAGAGGAAAAUGAAGUUUGAGUGCCUUGCUGUUGCAAUAGGCAUUUUUUACCAUGUCUAAUGAUCAUUAUCUCUUAAGUAUUCCAAGAUCAAGAGCAUUGAAAACUCAUUUGAUUGAGACACUAGUACAGUUAUUUCAUUUAGUCUUGAAUUUCUGUAGUGUUUCUUAUGUGGAAGGAGAGGUAGAUCACAAGUCAUGCAGUUCAGCUCUCAGUUUGACCUUCCCAAGGGCCAUUUGUGGCUCCAUCAUAUGGAGUUCCAUCUAGUCAUUGCCUUGCAAAUGCUCCAGGUGCAAUUUCUAUAUUUUUUUUGGUGUUGUCUUAUUAUUUUAGUGAGAAAAUUAAUUUCCUUUCUCUCAAAGUUCUCUUACAUGAAAAAAUGUGAAGUAUUUUUUCAGUCUCAAAAAGAUUCAAAGAACACAGCAGUGAUCCUGAUGCUCCUUCUCUAUGUGUUUUCCACUGUUAUGCAGCGAUAUAGCAAAAAGCAGUAGAGGGGUAUUAGGUAUUUCUCCUUUUGCUCCUUGCUUACGAAAAGUAAGAUUCAAUUAUUUUCUAACAAGAAUUAGUUAGACUACAUAUUUUGAAAAACAUGGCCGAGGUACUGAUGCCAAUAAAAAAAACUGUGUGUAAUUGAGACACAAGUAGACAAUGCAAUCCAAAAAUUGUAUUUUCUCUUUUUAAUCUGUAAUGGAUAAAUAUGUGAAAGCAUGCAAUAACUGAUAUUAAAAGGAAAAAUAGAGUUAGAAGGAAUAACACAGAACUGAUUAACCCUGCAAAAACCUCCUACUAAGGUAGCAUUUAUACAGUGGGUUAGUCUCAUGUUAAUGAAACAUUUAAUUAUGUUGGUUGUAAACCUCAGUAUCAACACAAAAGGGGCAUUCUUUCAAAUUAAAAGGAAUGAACAUGAAUACAACAUUGUCACAAGUUUUUGCUUAAUUUUUGAUUUAUUUAGUUUCUCUUCAUUGGUUGAAGGGACUCAUUUUUCUUCCAAAUAGCUAUAGUUUUUUUUUAUUGUAAUAAUAUUAAAAAUACUAAUAACAAAAAAAAAAAAAAAAAAAAAAA